UGACGUCAGUGGGCGUCGGGGUGGGCCUCGCGCGGGCGGGGAGCCUGUGGCGCGCUGGAGCCCAGCUACCCGGCCGCCCCUUCUGCUGGCGUCGCUGUUCAAGGGGCUGAGGAGGCUCCGGGCGGCCGAGCCGUUUCCGCGUUUGCUGCGCCGGCCCCGCGAUUUACAGCCCUGGAGAAUCUACUUUUUUCCCCUCAUUUUUUGCCCUGCAGUAAUAAAUCCCAUUAUGGACACCCAGAAACUUUAUAAAGGGAUAUAGUUUGAAUUUUGGGGAGUGUAUGACUUAUACUUUUAAAAUAUGAAGGGUUUUCAGAAACAAGGCCAGUAGAGUUAAUUACUGGCAUAUUAUUCGUGAGCAGUGUUGCUGAUAGAGUAUCUUGUUAGGCAUUUGUGAUAAUACUAGAACAGUCAAGUGGUAUCUUGAUAAACUUGAUUUACCUUUAAAUACAAAAUGAGUGAUAUUAUAGAUGCCUGAUUCUUAACUGAAAGACAAGUUAUGUAAAAAGGUUCUGCAGUAGAAGCUUUAUGGUUAACUAGUUAAGUUUAUGGAGACAAUAUCUUCAAUUGACCAAGUAUAAUAAAGUGGUAUGCAAAGUUAGGAAGAAAGACAGCAUAAUGUUGAUGCUGCAGGAAAUCAAAACAAAUAUAGACAGUAUUAACAAAGAUGAGUUAUCAGCUUGUGAGUUUUAACAUCGUACACAGUAUAACAGAUUUAGGUUCAACAAUGCUUGUACGUGUUGACAUCCUCCAAAAUUGUUAACUGAAGCUACUUUAACUUUCUCAAGUAAAUACUGUGAUGAUAAGCUAUGUGAAAUUAGCCUUUAGAUAAUGUGACCAUAUGAAGACUUAUUAUUUACUAGAAUAAAAGAAGAGUUUUUAAUAAAAAAUAAAAGUGUUUGGAGGGAAAGAAGUCUGCAUAUAGUUUUUUUUUUUUUCUCUUGUACUAUGGCCAUUAAUCAGCUUGAUAUCCAGGCUUUGUAGUUUGUAACCAAAAGCAAAUUAAAGGCAUAAGUACCGUGUCUUUGUUUAGAAUUUUGGGAAUAUAAACUUCCUUGAAAAAUCAAGGAGUGUUAACAUAUUUUCAAAAGUGUCUUAGCUUCUUUCAGUCUGUUUAGUAUUAUACCAAAUAGUGAACAGAGCUAGCACUUGUGUUAAUAUAGUCCUAAAGAGUAUUAAAUAGUAUUUUGAUUAUAUAGGAGAGAGGGUCAUCCUACCUGGGGUAAAUUCAGAUGUAAAUCCAGUAAAGAAGGUGUAGUGAAUUUUACAUGAUUAGGAGCCUAUAAUUUGAUUCUUUUUUAUGGUUAAAAAAAAAAUCUAAUGUGAAGAGAAGUUUCAUGUAAAGGAUUUUUGCUC
Molecule: long non-coding RNA, 1353 nt
Filed under: Moschus moschiferus (Siberian musk deer)
Lineage: Eukaryota; Metazoa; Chordata; Mammalia; Artiodactyla; Moschidae
Description: lncRNA (ENSMMSG00000020278.1)
Source: RNAcentral